AUUGAACGCUGGCGGCAGGCCUAACACAUGCAAGUCGAGCGAGCGGCGGACGGGUGAGUAAUGUUUGGGAAACUGCCUGACGGAGGGGGCUAACUCCUGGAAACGGUAGCUAAUACCGCAUACCAUCAGAUGUGCCCAGAUGGGAUUAGCUAGUCGGUGGGGUAAUGGCUCACCUAGGCGACGAUCCCUAGCUGGUCUGCGAGGAUGACCAGCGACUCGGAAACUGAGACACGGUCCAGACGCCUACGGGGGGCAGCGGUGGGGAGUAUUGGACACUGGGCGCAAGCCUGGUGCAGCCAUGCCGCGUGGGUGAAUAAGGCCUUCGGGUUGGAAGUCACUUUCAGCGGGAGGGCGUUACCCGCAGAAAAAGCACAGGCUAACUCCGUGACAGCCGCCGCGGUAAUUC
RNAcentral lists this ribosomal RNA (406 nucleotides) under uncultured bacterium. Its description in RNAcentral is "partial 16S ribosomal RNA". It matches the Rfam family "Bacterial small subunit ribosomal RNA", at positions 29 to 526 of the family's 1533-position model. The record is from RNAcentral.